Molecule: ribosomal RNA, 253 nt
Filed under: uncultured bacterium
Lineage: Bacteria
Description: partial 16S ribosomal RNA
Rfam family: Bacterial small subunit ribosomal RNA
Source: RNAcentral
CACGUAGGGCGCGAGCGUUGUCCGGAAUUAUUGGGCGUAAAGAGCUCGUAGGCGGUCUGUCGCGUCGGAUGUGAAAACCCAGGGCUCAACCCUGGCCUGCAUUCGAUACGGGCAGACUAGAGUUCGGUAGGGGGAGACUGGAAUUCCUGGUGUAGCGGUGAAAUGCGCAGAUAUCGGGAAGAACACCUAUGGCGAAGGCAGCUCUCUGGGACGGUACUGACGCUGAGACGCGAAAGCGUGGGGAGCGAACAGG